This 85-nucleotide transfer RNA is filed under the name Candidatus Accumulibacter sp. 66-26. Its description in RNAcentral is "tRNA-Leu". It matches the Rfam family "tRNA". From Rfam's summary of the family: Transfer RNA (tRNA) molecules are approximately 80 nucleotides in length. Their secondary structure includes four short double-helical elements and three loops (D, anti-codon, and T loops). RNAcentral also lists the same sequence under 1 other name. Lineage: Bacteria; Pseudomonadati; Pseudomonadota; Betaproteobacteria. The record is from RNAcentral.
GCGAGAGUGGCGGAAUUGGUAGACGCACUGGAUUUAGGUUCCAGCGCCGCAAGGUGUGCAGGUUCGAUUCCUGUCUCUCGCACCA